CAGCCGCUGGGAGCAGCCUGGUCUGGAUCCCAGAGGUUACUGAAUGCCUCAGCCUUCCCCGAAAAUUCCUGAGGUCAAAGGGAGCCCCAGGAGUCCACGAUAAACGCCAGCCCUUCUAGGAACUUCCAAACCCUCCGGAGGUGUGGCCCACAUUUUUAAGAAGGGGGAAAUUUGAGGAGGACCUUAGCGUGAGCCUCUCCAAAACCCGGACGCUGAAACCCUGUUUAUGGAAUGGACUAACAGAGAGGGAAGUUGAGGCACAGUGGGAGGAAGACUAUGCCCCGAGUUCACACGCCAAGUGAUUUGCAAAAUCCGAGAGCAGAUCUGGAGAGCCUGCUGGAUUCGGGUCAAUGUCUCCCUCCGCGCCGCAGGGCUGCCUUGGGUGGUCGGUUGUUUGUUUUAAUCUGAGGCUUGUUUAUAUUUAACUGUGUCUGAAAUCUUCAUGAGACCAUUAAGACAUUUAAAAAAUCGUGUUUACUGGA
Molecule: long non-coding RNA, 482 nt
Organism: Lemur catta (Ring-tailed lemur)
Lineage: Eukaryota; Metazoa; Chordata; Mammalia; Primates; Lemuridae
Exons: 2
Source: RefSeq, a predicted model, not a curated record